RNAcentral lists this ribosomal RNA (261 nucleotides) under uncultured bacterium. RNAcentral's name for it is "partial 16S ribosomal RNA". It matches the Rfam family "Bacterial small subunit ribosomal RNA", at positions 793 to 1055 of the family's 1533-position model. The record is from RNAcentral.
GUCCAUGCCGUAAACGAUGAAUGCUAGGUGUCGGGGGUCAAACCUCGGUGCCGCAGUUAACACAGUAAGCAUUCCGCCUGGGGAGUACGGUGGCAACACUGAAACUCAAAGGAAUUGACGGGGACCCGCACAAGCAGCGGAGCAUGUGGUUUAAUUCGAUGCAACGCGAAGAACCUUACCAGGACUUGACAUAUAGAUGAAAGAUCUAGAGAUAGAUCCCUCUCUUCGGAGACAGCUAUACAGGUGGUGCAUGGUUGUCGU